CCUUCCCCAUGCUAAACUCCCCAUGCGUCCUUUCUAGAUCAACAUCCUCCACUCCUUGCUAUUUAUUUAAAUAUUUAUUUCAAAUUUAAUUUUACUUUUAUAUUUUUUAUUCAAUAUUUUUAUUCUUGUACUUUUUGUCUUUUUAUAUUCUGUUUUCAUGUUUUGUUCUUUUUAUUUUUAUUGAUCAUGCAUAUACUUCUAUGAUUUAAGUUUACUUUUUAUUUUAAAUUAUUUUAAUUUUUAUAUUUAAUUAUA
This 255-nucleotide long non-coding RNA is filed under the name Elaeis guineensis (African oil palm). RNAcentral describes it as "long non-coding RNA (EGUI_LNC017613)". The record is from RNAcentral. Lineage: Eukaryota; Viridiplantae; Streptophyta; Magnoliopsida; Arecales; Arecaceae.